This 253-nucleotide ribosomal RNA is filed under the name uncultured bacterium. RNAcentral's name for it is "partial 16S ribosomal RNA". It matches the Rfam family "Bacterial small subunit ribosomal RNA", at positions 524 to 776 of the family's 1533-position model. The record is from RNAcentral.
UACGUAGGGUGCGAGCGUUAAUCGGAAUUACUGGGCGUAAAGCGUGCGCAGGCGGUGAUGUAAGACAGAUGUGAAAUCCCUGGGCUCAACCUGGGAACUGCAUUUGUGACUGCAUCGCUGGAGUACGGCAGAGGGGGAUGGAAUUCCGCGUGUAGCAGUGAAAUGCGUAGAUAUGCGGAGGAACACCGAUGGCGAAGGCAAUCCCCUGGGCCUGUACUGACGCUCAUGCACGAAAGCGUGGGGAGCAAACAGG